AGAGUUUGAUCAUGGCUCAGGAUGAACGCUAGCGGGAGGCCUAACACAUGCAAGCCGAGCGGUAGAGAUUCUUCGGAAUCUUGAGAGCGGCGUACGGGUGCGGAACACGUGUGCAACCUACCUUUAUCUGGAGGAUAGCCUUUCGAAAGGAAGAUUAAUACUCCAUAAUAUAUUGAUUGGCAUCAAUUGAUAUUGAAAGCUCCGGCGGAUAGAGAUGGGCACGCGCAAGAUUAGUUAGUUGGUGAGGUAACGGCUCACCAAGACGAUGAUCUUUAGGGGCCUGAGAGGGUGAUCCCCCACACUGGUACUGAGACACGGACCAGACUCCUACGGGAGGCAGCAGUGAGGAAUAUUGGUCAAUGGGUGCAAGCCUGAACCAGCCAUCCCGCGUGAAGGACGACUGCCCUAUGGGUUGUAAACUUCUUUUGUAUAGGGAUAAGCCUACCCUCGUGAGGGUAGCUGAAGGUACUAUACGAAUAAGCACCGGCUAACUCCGUG
Molecule: ribosomal RNA, 498 nt
Filed under: uncultured bacterium
Lineage: Bacteria
Description: bacterial SSU rRNA
Rfam family: Bacterial small subunit ribosomal RNA
Source: RNAcentral